CGCCCAACUUAAACGGAAGUCUGGUACAUCCUGCAUGGAAUGUCUCUACCUGCACACACCUUUGAUGUUCAUGAAUGGAACUUGAAUCUCUACUAUUUAUCUAUCCUGAGAUGCCAUUGAGUGGGGCCGUGACCGGGGGCUACAAAAAUAGAAGAGGCAACCAACAUGUUUUCUUUGUAUGAAUACAUAGUUGGUGUUGGGCUUUGUUGAUAGUGAAUAUUGUGAAUCAGGGAGGAGAUAAUGGUCAUUUGAGGUGCAGACAACCGUGCGUCUUUAUUACCUUGCGCAAUCAUUUCUAUUUUUAUAUUCACACUCUUUCAAACUAUAAUGCUUAGGCUUUGCCCUUUAUAAAAGCAUCGUGAUUAUUGCGAGUGUGUGGCCACUAAAGGUAAUGAGGUAUUGGAGGUUUUGGAAAAAGCAAAAGAUCAGAAUCUAGCGCACAAAGGCUUGAUAUAGGGGAGAUUGUGGUCUAAUCAUUCUUUUAUAAGAAAAAGUGACUGAGUUCCAUGACAACAGUAAUGACAAGAUUCUCAAAAGAAGAAAAACUGUUAGAAUUUAUAUAACUCUAACAAUAAUUUUGAAAAAUAUAAAUACCAUCAAAUUUUCCAAAUGAAUGGAACCAAUGUACACAUAUUACAUGUAAAGGGUACUAGAGUUAUGCAUAUAUAUGCUCUCUAACAAUGUUCACUCAUAUUAAGGUGUCACUUAAGGAGCAUAUUGGAAAGUAUUCAUACAAUUUGAAUUGCAUAGUAUUUUUAAUUGAUUAUAAAAUUUUAAAUUUGUUUGAUUUAA
Molecule: long non-coding RNA, 792 nt
Organism: Cryptomeria japonica (Japanese cedar)
Lineage: Eukaryota; Viridiplantae; Streptophyta; Pinopsida; Cupressales; Cupressaceae
Exons: 2
Source: RefSeq, a predicted model, not a curated record